UGGCUCAGCGGUUAAGAGCACUGGCUGUUCCUCCAGAGGUCCUGAGUUCAAUUCUCAG
RNAcentral lists this transfer RNA (58 nucleotides) under Mesocricetus auratus (golden hamster). Lineage: Eukaryota; Metazoa; Chordata; Mammalia; Rodentia; Cricetidae. The record is from Rfam by way of RNAcentral.